CGCAUCUGUGCAUGCAGCAUAUCAAUAAGCGGAGGAAAAGAAACUAACAAGGACUCCCCUAGUAACGGCGAGUGAAGCGGGAAGAGCUCAAAUUUGAAAUCUUAAAGGGUUUCCCUUUACGAAUUGUAGUUUAAAGAAGUGUUUUCUGUUGAGGUUUUGGUAAAAGUUCUUUGGAAUAGGACAUCAUAGAGGGUGAGAAUCCCGUAUUUGACCUUUACUUUCAACUUUGUGAUACACUUUCAAAGAGUCGGAUUGUUUGGGAAUGCAGUCCAAAAUGGGUGGUAAAUUUCAUCUAAAGCUAAAUAUUGGCGAGAGACCGAUAGCGAACAAGUACCGUGAGGGAAAGGAUGAAAAGAACUUUGAAAAGAGAGUUAAACAGUACGUGAAAUUGUCAAAAGGGAAGCGUUUGACACCAGUGUUGUUUUUCUGAAAAUCAAUUAAAGAACUGUUUAUGCUAAGCUGUUUAGACUUUAUCAGCUAUCUGUUUAGUUUUGAGCUUUUCUUUAAUGCACUUUUCAGUUAACAAGUCAACAUCAAUUUCUUUUGCUGUAAAAAAAGCUUGAGGAAGGUGGCUUGAGAUUCGUCUUAAGUGUUUAUAGCCUCUUGCCUAUGCAGUCGGAGAGAUUGAGGUCUGCAGCGUAGAUCCUUCGGGGCUAAAUGCAUUUGUGCUAAGUUAUAGCAUUUUAUAGACAACUUGUUGACUAUGAUUUGUCUUGUAGCUUACUCGCUUAUGUUAUUUUACCUACGCUUAGGAUGUUGAAUCUGUGCGAGACUAC
RNAcentral lists this ribosomal RNA (776 nucleotides) under uncultured Neocallimastigales. Its description in RNAcentral is "partial large subunit ribosomal RNA". It matches the Rfam family "Eukaryotic large subunit ribosomal RNA", at positions 26 to 644 of the family's 3401-position model. Lineage: Eukaryota; Fungi; Neocallimastigomycota; Neocallimastigomycetes; Neocallimastigales. The record is from RNAcentral.